AAAAUGAACAUCUGAGAUUUAAUCAGAAAACCAUUGGUCAAUAACUGUUUUAAAAUCACUGAAAUAAAAAUCAUCUGACAUAUGUUGUUUACCUUAAGUAUAUACUCAUUUUGUAAAUUUUUGUACCCCCUGACACACACACACACACACUCACACACACACACACACACAAGCACUUUUCCCAGCUUUCUCUUCAUGGAGUAAUUUAAUUUAUUCCAUUUUAAAAAUCUUAGACUCAGAAAAUAAUAAAUAAUUAAGGAAUAUUAUAGAACCGAUUACAUGAUUUCAGUAAGCUAAAAAUGAUGUUCGCUCUGUAUUUCUCACUAUAUCAAUGAGAUUCUUUAUUAUACAAGUAUAACAUCUCUUAAGAGCAAUUAGUUAAGUAAAAUUUUGUCAGAAGAUAUGAGGAUUACUCUCUCAUUUAAAAAAAGUAACUUGCCAACAAACAGGCAUGAUUGAAUUCGAGAAGCUUCAGUUUUUUGCGACCCUGCUCCUGAAGUGAAACUUGGAUCCUAAACACCAAAUGGUGGGUUCAUCUGCCAUGAUACAUGACAUUUGUUUUAUCAAACAGCAUAAACUCUGUUAAAGAUGUUCCUUAAAAGGUCUAAUUUCAAGUAUACCCUGCCAUCAGAGUUGAUCUACCAUAGACAGACUAACAAAUACCAACCGAAUAAAAUCUAAUGCAUAAAGGACAGAAAAAUAAAUUACAUUUUCCCCCAAAUUUACAAAAUUGAUUGCUCAUUAAGAUGUUUAUGGCUGGGUACAGUGGCUCAUGCCUGUAAUCCCAGCACUUAGGGAGGCCAAGGCGGGCAGAUCACAAGGUCAAGAGAUCAAGACCAUCCUGGCCAACAAGGUGAAACCCUGUCUCUACUAAAAAUACAAAUUAGCUGGGCGUGGUAGCACACCUGUAGUCCCAGCUACUCAGGAAGCUGAGGCAGGAGAAUCGCUUGAACUCGGGAGGUAGAGGUUGCAGUGUGCUGAGUUUGUGCCACUGCACUCCAGCCUGGUGACAGGGCAAGACUCCGUCUAAAAAAUAAUAAUAAUAAAAUAAAAAGAUGUUUAUAUGUACAUCUUAAUUUAAUUCACUAUCUCAGAUUAUUUUUAAAUUUGCCUUUAAGCUUAAUGGAAAAUUCCCCUGAACUGUGGUAUAAUUUGAGUUCAAAAUGUAUUAAUCAUGUCCAAAUCUUCAUCUUUAAUCAGGAAAGGUUCAUUUAUUAUAAGCCAUUUCUAAAAUUGCUUUUAAACCUAUACAAUAUGAAUAUGAUUGGGUUACUAAGGUAAGCCUGGACAUGAUAAAAUAGGUUGUAAAAAUUUAGAAUUUUUAAUCACACUAAUCAAAUCAACAUUCUAGGAAAUCAAGUAUGAUAUCUAUCGAAAGGGUGAUGACACCUUAAUUAUGGUAUUGUGCUUUUAUAGCCAGCUUCUGAAACUGUAAUAUCACUGAGUAUCACAGACAAGAUACAAUAAUAAGGUUACCCGCAGAGAAAAGGUAAAAUGCCUUGUAAAUUUAACUUUCUAGAUUUUCAAGUUUCAAGUUUUUGUACUAAAUACUAAAGUUGUACUAAAGUUGAAGCCAUAUGUUCAGAAAUGUUCCUGUAUCUAAAAAAUAAGCUUAUGGCAUUUCCCCAUAAAACACAUUUCUAAGUCCCAAGAUGGAGUAAUUAGAGAGAUGUUUCUGCAUGGAAUUCUAUAAACUGUCACACCUGUUUAGUUGAACAAUGAAUGAAAAUAUGCAGACUUGAACAGAAUUCAAGAAAUUAUUAAAAGACUUACACUUUACCAGCAGAAAUUACUUAAUACAGGAAAAACAUCAGUCAUUUUUCAGGGAGUCAUCAAGGGAUUUUUAAAUCACUAAAAAUGACAAAUAAGAAGUGGAAAAUUAUCACAAUUAUAUAAGCAGUAUUACUGCGAUGUAUGGAACGUCUGUCACCAGUGACAGCCAUUCAACAUUCUACAAGGGGAACCAAUUGACACAUUCAAUAUUACAAGGCUAAAAGCAGUUAUUACAUUUUUUUCACUUUUAAAACAAAACGCAAUCAUGUAAUUUUCAAUUAGUAUAAAAAUUGAAUGCACUCUGAGUCAAAAAUAAGCAGGUAUCAUAUUUUCCAUAUGGCCAUUUGUAGCAAAUCAUACAUUUCAUUUUUGAUAAAUGGUAUUUUUUCAAAGUUCUUUUCUGUGUGUUAAUAAAACACGGAGAGGAAGCUGUGAUUCUUUUCUUUCUAUACAUGGCAAUAACAGUGUACAAUACUCAGCCAGACAUGGUGGCUCAUGCCUGUAAUCCCAGCACUUUGGGAGGCCGAGGCGGGCGGAUCAUGAGGUCAGGAGUUUGAGACCAGCCUGGCCAACAUGGUGGAACCCUCUCUCUAUUAAAAAUACAAAAAUUAUCCAGGCAUGGUGGCACGCAAGGCAAUUAUCUAUAAACCCUGUGACAAGACUGGUAGCCUCAAUUUUUCUCUCAUAAAUAACAUAAACAUAACUCAUA
RNAcentral lists this long non-coding RNA (2482 nucleotides) under Pongo abelii (Sumatran orangutan). RNAcentral's name for it is "lincRNA". The record is from RNAcentral. Lineage: Eukaryota; Metazoa; Chordata; Mammalia; Primates; Hominidae.